This 98-nucleotide small nuclear RNA is filed under the name Ochotona princeps (American pika). The record is from RNAcentral. Lineage: Eukaryota; Metazoa; Chordata; Mammalia; Lagomorpha; Ochotonidae.
UUGCUUUGGCAGCACAUAGACUAAAAUUGGAAUGACACUGAGCAGCACAGCCGGUGCGCAAGGAUGACAUGCAAGUUUGUGGAGUGUUCUGAGUUUUU